RNAcentral lists this ribosomal RNA (805 nucleotides) under uncultured fungus. RNAcentral describes it as "eukaryotic LSU rRNA". It matches the Rfam family "Eukaryotic large subunit ribosomal RNA", at positions 24 to 664 of the family's 3401-position model. The record is from RNAcentral. Lineage: Eukaryota; Fungi.
CCCGCUGAACUUAAGCAUAUCAAUAAGCGGAGGAAAAGAAAGCAACAGCGAUUCCCUCAGUAACUGCGAGUGAAACGGGAAAAGCUCAAAACUGAAUCGGGUUUUCACUUGUGGAAAUCUGAAUUGUAGUUUAUCGAACCAGGAUAAGGGUGUUGAGGCCAGUUAAGUCUGCUGCGAUGCAGCACCAUAGAGGGUGAUAGUCCCGUUGCUGGCUGAAGUGCUCUAUACUUCUUGGUUCGCAGAGUCGCACUGUUUGAGAGUAUAGUGCAAAGUGGGAGGUGAAUUCCUCCUAAAGCUAAAUAUAUCCUCUAGACCGAUAGCAAACAAGUACCGUGAGGGAAAGUUGCAAAGAACUUUGAAAAGAGAGUUAAAAGACCUGAAACCUUCAAUGGGGAAGGGUUCGAGUCGACCACGUGCACACUUAUUCGACUGCCAGCUGCUAAUUAGAGCUAACUUCAUGAGAAACUUUUGUUUCCAGCUGUUGGUUCGAAGAGGUAGCAGGCAGUGCAUUUAAGUGUGGGUGUCAGUAUGGCCAGGCCAAGUGUGAGAGACUUUGGCAGUUGUGCACCUGUAACGAGGCAACUUGUUAUGGGCUGUUAACUGCCAAAGGGUAACAUUUGGCCUGGUUUGAGCCAGCUAGGCGAAGUUCUGUGCCAAGCAGCAGUUGGGUUGGCUGUUGGGCAGUUUGGGGUGUUACUGGCAACAGUGGCAUUUCAAACUGUCUGGCACUCCUGUUCAAUCUGCUUGCAGAACAUCAAAUGCUGUGACAUAGUGGUAUACAUGAACCUCCCGUCUUGAAACACGG